This 3198-nucleotide long non-coding RNA is filed under the name Lactuca sativa (garden lettuce). RNAcentral's name for it is "long non-coding RNA (LSAT_LNC001776)". The record is from RNAcentral. Lineage: Eukaryota; Viridiplantae; Streptophyta; Magnoliopsida; Asterales; Asteraceae.
CGUAAAAUAGAUCGAGGAAAUGAACACAUACCCGUGGAGGAGGAGAUCAUCGUGGAGAGCCAUCCGCGCGUUCGGGCGAGACGUAUCGGAUUUCUGGAGGUGACGCCGUGAUUUUCCGUUGCCGGAGAACGAGGAGAUCCGGGAGGAGUUAGGAGGAGACGGAAAAAGAGGUAGAAACAUGGUGUGACGAUUGCUACCAGCAUGCGGAGGAUGGAGAAUAAUAGUGCUUGGAUCACCGAUGACCGCAGAAACAAACAACGAAGACCACAGAAACAACACAAAAAUCGAGAGGAUCACGAUAUCGGUAGUAGACGAGGACAGUGCCCAGGUGAAUCGUGCCAUAAUUCGUCAAUCACCGAUCUGUUGUGUCUGCGGAUCGAGAGAGACAAAUGAAUUGGCCCUAUAACUCUUGUUCUCUCACACAACAGUUUGAGAGCUAGAGCGAGAGAUGAGAGAGAUUUUCCGUUCCGGUAAGGAGGUCCGAUCAAGUCAUCGGCGACUGUGAGCAAUGUUUUGUGGCACAUAGAAAUAGAAAAGCUUAUUCCUUCUCAUUCGAAAUCGAAAUCGCCAUCGCCAUUACGACGUGGAUGAUGUAUCGGAUCUAAAAGGUAAAUAGUUCGAAUAAAGCCUUCAAUUCUACUCAACUUCUAACUUAAAUUCUUUUUCUUUAACGUGUAGUUAGGUCAAAAGUUUUAUAUCCAAAUGCCAAAAUAGGCGUUACAUUACCUUUAAACUAUUAAUAUUUAGAGUAUUUUAUAAGAAUGUUAUUUCAGUUUAAAACAUCGUUUUGAGAAAAUAUUGCGAAUUUAUUUACUGAGUAGACGAAUGUCCGUGCGUUACGCAGAAACACUUAUAUAGUUAAAGUUUUUAUAAAUAUAUGAUUUUUUAAAUAUAAUAAUAACGUUGUUGUUAAAUUUGAUAUAAUAAUUUGUAUAUACUAAAUUGAUAUAAUAUAUUGAUUAUUUUGAAUUAUAUAAUAAUAUAUACAUUUAUUAUAACUUCAUAAUCUAAAUCGUUUGAAUGACUUCUACCCGCGAGUUACAAUAAAAUUAAAUAUAAUAUAUGAUUUGAUGUUAUUUAUAGUUGUUUUUAUUGUUAAUUAAUUUUUUAAAACUUAUUUGCUUAAUGUUUUAAUUUCUAUCAUUAUAAUUAUUUAAAACAUCAAACAUUGUUUUUUAUUUUAAAGCUAACAAUAUAAUCAUUUAUAUAGAGUUGUUUUUAACUAUUGUUAUUGUAAGUUAUUUUAAGCUACUUAUUUGGAAACUUUUAACGAUUAUAAAAAUAUAUUUAAGAAAUAUUUUAGUUAAUUUGAAAUUACAAUUUAGUUUUUAUUUUUAUCACUUUUAACUAUUUAAAAAAUAUUCUUUAGUUUUUUCAAAUGAAACUGAAAUUUAUAUUUGAGUUGACAUUCUAAUGCGCAGAAACACCUAUAUAGUUGAAGUCUUUACAAAUAUAUAUAUUUUAAAAUAUAACACUAACGUUGUUGUUAAAUUUGAUAUAAUAAUUCGUAUAUUAAUUUGAUAUAAUAUAUUGACUAUUUUGAAUUAUAUGAUAAUAUAUAAAUAUAUUAUAACGUCAUAAUCUCAAUCGUUUGAAUGACUUCUACUCGCGAGUUACACAUCAAUAAAAUUAAAUAUUAUAUAUGGUUUAAUAUUAUUUAUAGUUGUUAUUUUUAACUAAUUUUUUAAAAUAUAUUUGCUUAAUGUUUUAAUUUCUAUCAUUAUAAUUAUUUAAAACAUCAAACAUUAUUUUUUGAUUUUAAAGGUAACAAUAUAAUCAUUUAUAUAGAGUUAUUUUUAACUAUUGUUAUUAUAAGUUAUUUUAAGCUACUUAUUUGAAAAUUUUUAACGAUUAUAUAAAUAUAUUUAGGAAAUAUUUUAGCUAAACUAAUAUUACAAUUUAGUUUUUGCAUUUAUCACUUUAUCACUUUUAACUAUUUACAAAACAUUAUUUGGUUUUUUUUAAUAGAACUGAACAUUAUAUUUAAGUUGACGCUGUAAUGUUAUAUUUAAAUUAACAAUUUAAGUAUUUUGUUAAAACUAUUCAAAAAUUACAGCUUUAAAUUGAUAAUGGUUUACAUGCAACAACAUUUUAAAUCUAAUAAAUUAAGUAUAAUAUGUUAAAAUUUAAAGACAUAACUUUAUAAAUAAAAGUAAAGAUAUUAUUUUAAAAUUGAAAUUUAGUCUAUUUAUGAUUACACUUUAUGUUUGAUAUUUAUUUAACAUUAUUAACCAACUUACAAUCAUUAUUAGAAAUACACUACAAUUUAUCACUUUUAACUAUUUAUAAAAUAAUCUUUGGGUUGUUUAAGUUAAAUAAAAUUUAUAUUUAAGUUGAGCCUAUAAUGUUAUAUUUUAAUUAAUAAUUUAAGUAUUUUAUACAAAUUGUUCAAAAAUUAUACCUUUAAAAUGAUAAUGGUUUACAUCCAACAAUAUAUUAAAACUAAUAAAUUAAGUAUAAUAUGUUAAAAGUUAAAAAACAUAAUUUUAUAAGUAGAAUUAAAGAUAUUAUUUUAAUAUUGAAAAUUAGUUUAUAUAUGAAUACAUUUUAGAUUUGAUAUUUAUUUAACCUAAUUACCAAAUUAUAAUUAUUAUUAUAAAGAAAUUGAAAAGUCAUGGGAGUUUCAAAUGAAUGUGGUGAAAGAAAAAAAGAAUGGGGGUUUCAAAUACAUGAGAUUCAAGAAAAAAUGUCAGGUUUAUAAGUAUGUAUGAUUUAUCAAAAUAAAAUAUAGUAUCACAUAUUAAAGACACUUUAUCUUUACCCUUUUCUUAUUUUUACGAAACAUUUUUUUACAAUCUCUCAACGUAAGACUUUGUUUUGAUAAUAUAAAUCUUUAUUUUGCUACAAAAAUGAUUUUUAAGAUCCUUAACGUAAAAAACUUUAAAACAAUGAAUUAUUAAUAUAUAAUCAUGAAUUUCAUAAAAGCUUUAAAACAAUGAAUUAUUGACAUAUAAUCACUACAGGAGAUGAAGAAAUCCAAGUAAUAUCAAGGACAAGGGCAUUAGCGGCAACAUCUUUCUUUGGCCAACUCCAACCUCAUUACUAUACGUUACAUUAUUUUUGUGUAAAAUUAACAUUAAAACUCUUUUCAACUCUAACCACACACUAAAAAAUUACACUAAAAUAUAUUUUAAUAUUAUAAAUUAUAAAGAAUAAUUAUAAAAAACUAAAAACAAUUAAAAUAAUACUAUAUAAAAG